This 253-nucleotide ribosomal RNA is filed under the name uncultured bacterium. Its description in RNAcentral is "partial 16S ribosomal RNA". It matches the Rfam family "Bacterial small subunit ribosomal RNA", at positions 524 to 776 of the family's 1533-position model. The record is from RNAcentral.
UACGUAGGGUGCGAGCGUUGCCCGGAUUUAUUGGGCGUAAAGGGCGCGUAGGCGGUGAGAUGCGUCCGUUGUGAAAUCGCCCGGCUCAACUGGGCGGGGUCAGCGGAUACGGUCUCACUUGAGCAAGCUAGGGGGCAAUGGAAUUCCCGGUGUAGUGGUGGAAUGCGUAGAUAUCGGGAGGAACACCAGUGGCGAAGGCGGUUGCCUGGGGCUUUGCUGACGCUGAUGCGCGAAAGCGUGGGGAGCGAUCCGG